RNAcentral lists this ribosomal RNA (499 nucleotides) under uncultured bacterium. RNAcentral describes it as "bacterial SSU rRNA". It matches the Rfam family "Bacterial small subunit ribosomal RNA", at positions 899 to 1397 of the family's 1533-position model. The record is from RNAcentral.
ACUCAAAGGAAUAGACGGGGGCCCGCACAAGCAGCGGAGCAUGUGGUUUAAUUCGAAGCAACGCGAAGAACCUUACCAAGGCUUGACAUCCCUCGCAAUCCAUGGAAACAUGGAGUUCCCUUCGGGGACGAGGAGACAGGUGGUGCAUGGUUGUCGUCAGCUCGUGUCGUGAGAUGUUGGGUUAAGUCCCGCAACGAGCGCAACCCUUGUUCUCAGUUACCAGCAAGUAAAGUUGGGGACUCUGAGGAGACUGCCGGGGAUAACUCGGAGGAAGGUGGGGACGACGUCAAAUCAUCAUGCCCCUUAUGUCUUGGGCUACACACGUGCUACAAUGGUCGUAACAAAGGGAAGCGAACCCGAGAGGGGGAGCGGAACUCAAAAAAGCGAUCCCAGUUCGGAUUGUGGGCUGCAACCCGCCCACAUGAAGUCGGAGUUGCUAGUAAUCGCGAAUCAGCAUGUCGCGGUGAAUGCGUUCCCGGGCCUUGUACACACCGCCCGU